UCCAGGGCUACACACGUGCUACAAUGGGCGCGUACAGAGGGACGCCAAACCGCGAGGUGGAGCAGACCCCAGAAAGCGCGUCGUAGUUCGGAUUGCAGUCUGCAACUCGACUGCAUGAAGUCGGAAUCGCUAGUAAUCGCGGAUCAGCAUGCCGCGGUGAAUACGUUCCCGGGCCUUGUACACACCGCCCGUCACACCAUGGGAGUAGAUUGUACCAGAAGCGGCUAGCCUAACCUUCGGGAGGGCGGUUACCACGGUAUGGUUUAUGACUGGGGUGAAGUCGUAACAAGGUAGCCGUAGGGGAACCUGCGGCUGGAUCACCUCCUUUAAAGAAAAGGGUCUAGACCCCACACACGCCACUCGGUAAGGAAUUGGGCCUAUAGCUCAGCUGGCUAGAGCACACGACUGAUAAUCGUGAGGUCAG
Molecule: ribosomal RNA, 424 nt
Filed under: uncultured bacterium
Lineage: Bacteria
Description: bacterial SSU rRNA
Rfam family: Bacterial small subunit ribosomal RNA (bases 1-328)
Source: RNAcentral